Molecule: transfer RNA, 81 nt
Filed under: Verruconis gallopava
Lineage: Eukaryota; Fungi; Ascomycota; Dothideomycetes; Venturiales; Sympoventuriaceae
Description: tRNA-His (GTG) (tRNA-His-GTG-1-1)
Rfam family: tRNA
About the family: Transfer RNA (tRNA) molecules are approximately 80 nucleotides in length. Their secondary structure includes four short double-helical elements and three loops (D, anti-codon, and T loops).
Source: RNAcentral
GGUAGCAUGGCCGAGCGGUUAAGGCGCCAGAUUGUGACUCUGGUCACGAGAGUGUCGAGGGUUCGAAUCCCUCUGCUACCA